UAUAAAGCUUUCUCUUGUUUAAUACAAAGUAUUCUUGCAAGCUUCUCUUCUUAGCUUCUCUUAGCUUUGUUGUGGCAAUAUUUCGGGAAAAGGCUGACUUAGCACAUCGCAGGGGCGAAUUGUGACUAAGGCCGCACGGAAGAUAGCUAGGGAGUUAUCUGGUCCGUGACAAUUUGCUCAAGUGGUAAAUCAAAUUGUGAAGUAAAAGUAAAAAAAGAGAAAAAGUUAUUAAAUUUCUCCCUUGCCGGGAUGUUUGUGGCUUUGUUGAUUAUCUCCCUUGCCGGGAUGCUAAGAAUGUUGAUAUUGUUCCAUUGCCGGGAUUAACUGUUAAAUUUUGUUCCCUUGCCGGAUUUUUAUUAUUAUUUGUUUACUCCUUUGCCCAUUAUUUGUGAUUGUUGUUUGGGUGAGGAAGAGUGUUAAAGCAUAAAGGGU
RNAcentral lists this long non-coding RNA (432 nucleotides) under Nicotiana benthamiana. Its description in RNAcentral is "long non-coding RNA (NBEN_LNC003335)". The record is from RNAcentral. Lineage: Eukaryota; Viridiplantae; Streptophyta; Magnoliopsida; Solanales; Solanaceae.